Ovis aries (sheep) is the source of this 72-nucleotide transfer RNA. It matches the Rfam family "tRNA". From Rfam's summary of the family: Transfer RNA (tRNA) molecules are approximately 80 nucleotides in length. Their secondary structure includes four short double-helical elements and three loops (D, anti-codon, and T loops). The record is from Rfam. Lineage: Eukaryota; Metazoa; Chordata; Mammalia; Artiodactyla; Bovidae.
UCCCUGGUGGCUCAGACGGUAAAGCGCCUGCCUACAAUACGGGAGACCCAGGUUCAAUCCCUGGGUUGGGAA